This 25-nucleotide non-coding RNA is filed under the name Arabidopsis thaliana (thale cress). The record is from RNAcentral. Lineage: Eukaryota; Viridiplantae; Streptophyta; Magnoliopsida; Brassicales; Brassicaceae. RNAcentral also lists the same sequence under 1 other name.
CAAAGUGAAGAAAUUCAACCAAGCG